AUUGAACGCUGGCGGCAGGCCUAACACAUGCAAGUCGAACGGUAACAGGAAGCAGCUUGCUGCUUCGCUGACGAGUGGCGGGCGGGUGAGUAAUGUCUGGGAAACUGCCUGAUGGAGGGGGAUAACUACUGGAAACGGUAGCUAAUACCGCAUAACGUCGCAAGACCAAAGAGGGGGACCUUAGGGCCUCUUGCCAUCGGCUGUGCCCUGAUGGGAUUAGCUAGUAGGUGGGGUAACGGCUCACCUAGGCGACGAUCCAUAGCUGGUCUGAGAGGAUGACCAGCCACACUGGAACUGAGACACGGUCCAGACUCCUACGGGAGGCAGCAGUGGGGAAUAUUGCACAAUGGGCGCAAGCCUGAUGCAGCCAUGCCGCGUGUAUGAAGAAGGCCUUCGGGUUGUAAAGUACUUUCAGCGGGGAGGAAGGGAGGAAAGUUAAUACCUUUGCUCAUUGACGUUACCCGCAGAAGAAGCGCCGGCUAACUCCGUG
This 490-nucleotide ribosomal RNA is filed under the name uncultured bacterium. Its description in RNAcentral is "partial 16S ribosomal RNA". It matches the Rfam family "Bacterial small subunit ribosomal RNA", at positions 30 to 507 of the family's 1533-position model. The record is from RNAcentral.